This 242-nucleotide long non-coding RNA is filed under the name Trifolium pratense (red clover). RNAcentral's name for it is "long non-coding RNA (TPRA_LNC005120)". The record is from RNAcentral. Lineage: Eukaryota; Viridiplantae; Streptophyta; Magnoliopsida; Fabales; Fabaceae.
UUGAAUCAAAGAUGUUACUAAACUAGAAUUCAAAAAUGAGGGCCUAGUCUUUGUUCAGUGUGUUGUGCAAGUUUAUCAAUUUUUUAGUUGUUACUAUAAAUCAGGUAUUCUCUUGCGCAACUGUGACUAGUCUCUCGAGCCAUAUUUUUAUACGGAAAUGGACAACCUUCAUGAGGUGAUAGUCGAAAAGGUAUGUAAAAUCUAUGAUAAACUCUCUAAGCUAGAAAACCUUAAUCCUUCAA